CUCGCUUUUAACAAUUAUUUGUUUAAUGUAUACUUAAAAAUUGUAUAGAACAAUUAUAAAUAAAUAAAAAAUUCAUUUGUAGAAUGUUUGCCAAAAAUAUCAUGAUUAAAACUUAAGACUAAAGUAUAAUCUAAUCAUAACAUCUUAUGAAAAAACUCUAGUUUUCUCUCGAUUUCUCACUCUUCAUGGUAUUUUAUCUUUUGGCAUGUGCUUGGGAUUUGUGACAAAAUUUCUCAAGUUGUUUGGACUUCAAAUCUCCAUUUUACUUGGUUUUCUUGCUUCCAAAAUUUCUAUGAGAUGUCUUUCAUCGGAUCAACUCAAUGGUUUAUACCAAAAAGAUUAGAACAUCCUAUAAAGUUGUCUGGUUAAUAAAUACUAUAGCUAUUUUCUCAAGGAUGGAAAACUUAUUCCAUUUCAUUAACAAGAGUAUCAUAUUCAUGAAUACAUCUUUAGCUAUUUUUGAGCAUAAUACAUUUUUGGAAAAUGUAACCCAGCUCAGUUAAAUCCUCUUCUUAAAACUGCCUGUACUCAUCACUAAGACACAUACAAAGGCCAAUACAUUUGUCACACUGAAAGUUGCAGACUUCAACCAUUUGGUCUGAGUUGGUGUGCUGUUAUUCCUGUUAUGUGCCACAACUUGCAUAUUUACGAUUCUAGACUAGGACAUAAGCACAUUGACUCUGUGGCUGAUAGCUUCACAACUAUCAUUAAUGUCAUCCCAUUAGUUGCUUGACCAGUUAAAGAUUUGGGUUGAUAACGUGGGUGGUGGAAUUUAACUUUUUUAGAAAAUCAAUUUUAAAACAUUUUUUUUUAAUUUUACUAUUUUAUUAAACUCAAUAUCAUAUUGCGGAAGGAACUAACUUAUUUUUCUGUUUUUAACAAUCCGUAACUCCAAUAACCACAAAAACCUAACAGAAAUUGAUAUCCCAAGUCAGACAUCAGCGAA
RNAcentral lists this long non-coding RNA (946 nucleotides) under Medicago truncatula (barrel medic). Its description in RNAcentral is "lncRNA gene40224". The record is from RNAcentral. Lineage: Eukaryota; Viridiplantae; Streptophyta; Magnoliopsida; Fabales; Fabaceae.